CCUACGGGAGGCAGCAGUGAGGAAUAUUGGUCAAUGGGCGGAAGCCUGAACCAGCCAAGUAGCGUGCAGGAUGACGUCCCUACGGGUUGUAAACUGCUUUUAUACGGGAAUAACGCGCCUUACGUGUAGGGCUUUGCAUGUACCGUAUGAAUAAGGACCGGCUAAUUCCGUGCCAGCAGCCGCGGUAAUACGGAGUGUCCGGGCGUUAUCCGGCUUGAUUGGGUUUAAAGGGAGCGUAGGCGGCAUGUCAACCGUGCUGUGAAAGGUCCGGGCUCAACCCGGGCCUUGCAGCGCGAACUGGCGUGCUUGAGUCCGCGGAAAGCAGGCGGAAUUCGUCGUGUAGCGGUGAAAUGCUUAGAUAUGACGAAGAACCCCGAUUGCGAAGGCAGCUUGCUGCAGCGGAACUGACGCUGAUGCUCGAAAGCGCGGGUAUCGAACAGGAUUAGAUACCCCUGUAGUC
This 460-nucleotide ribosomal RNA is filed under the name uncultured bacterium. RNAcentral's name for it is "partial 16S ribosomal RNA". It matches the Rfam family "Bacterial small subunit ribosomal RNA", at positions 338 to 795 of the family's 1533-position model. The record is from RNAcentral.